ACCGGUUAUUGCAAAUUGUGCUUCGUGUGUCAAGCUUCUGAUGUGGUGUGAUAUCUUUGAUGGCUUAAUUCUCCCCGGGGCCAGCAUGGAUAUGACUACCACAGACAGGAAAACUGAGGCUCUGAAGAGAUGAUUGUGUCUGGGAAGAUGGAAGCCAGUUUUCUAUGUUCGCCUGAAGGGAAUGUUCCCUGUCUACUUCCAUCCCAGCGGUCCCCCAGCCUCAGGAGUACUCCCUCCCUCACCCUUCUCUCAGGCAAAUUAAAGAAACUGCAAAUCCUGUUGGAAAAUAUCAACCAACUGCCCGAAGCCUACCCUUAUCAAUCUAAUAAAACCUGCUUCCAUCUCUCAGCUCUCCAUGUCCAUCUACUUACCUGUGUCAUCUCUCCCCAUACAGCCCCUCUGUCCUGGGACGCCUUUAUCCACACAGUCUGCGUCUCUUCUAACCCUGUCCAGCACCUGGUGACUCAACUGUCCUUAGGGCCAAACCCCUCCUUAGCCCUCCAAAGCAAAGUGACUCAGUAUACCCUUUCAGUGUGCCCUGGGGACGCUCUCGUCCCCUGCACAUGUAGGGAUAUUCCCAGCGGAGGCCUUGGGGGUAGCAGAGAGUGUGUGAAAGCCAGCUCAUUACUGCACACA
This is a long non-coding RNA of Meriones unguiculatus (Mongolian gerbil), 636 nucleotides long. RefSeq lists it as uncharacterized. The record is from RefSeq and is a predicted model, not a curated record. The transcript has 3 exons. Lineage: Eukaryota; Metazoa; Chordata; Mammalia; Rodentia; Muridae.